AGUGAACGCUGGCGGUAGGCCUAACACAUGCAAGUCGAACGGCAGCACAGUAAGAGCUUGCUCUUACGGGUGGCGAGUGGCGGACGGGUGAGGAAUACAUCGGAAUCUACUUUUUCGUGGGGGAUAACGUAGGGAAACUUACGCUAAUACCGCAUACGACCUACGGGGGAAAGCAGGGGAUCUUCGGACCUUGCGCGAUUGAAUGAGCCGAUGUCGGAUUAGCUAGUUGGCGGGGUAAAGGCCCACCAAGGCGACGAUCCGUAGCUGGUCUGAGAGGAUGAUCAGCCACACUGGAACUGAGACACGGUCCAGACUCCUACGGGAGGCAGCAGUGGGGAAUAUUGGACAAAGGGCGCAAGCCUGAUCCAGCCAUACCGCGUGUGUGAAGAAGGCCUUCGGGUUGUAAAGCCCUUUUGUUGGGAAAGAAAAGCAGCAGGUUAAUACCCCGCUGUUCUGACGGUACCCAAAGAAUAAGCACCGGCUAACUUCGUG
This 492-nucleotide ribosomal RNA is filed under the name uncultured bacterium. Its description in RNAcentral is "partial 16S ribosomal RNA". It matches the Rfam family "Bacterial small subunit ribosomal RNA", at positions 29 to 507 of the family's 1533-position model. The record is from RNAcentral.